UUUAGCACGGGUGGACGUGUUCUUGAUAGUUUUAGAAGUUCUCUAACUCCUCUCAUGGUCGAGGCUUUGGUUUGCACACAAGAUUGGCUUCGAAAAUCUAAUGAUGCCAUCAAUCUUGAAGAUUAUGUUGAUGAACUUCAAACCAUGGAAGAUGACUUAUCCAAAAUACCCAAAGAAUAAGAAGAUGUUUCAAGAUUAUCAAUGCCAUUGUCAUCGAUGUUUGAAGCACAAGAAGAAACUUAAACUAAUGGUUCUUGAACUGAUGUGUUAUUGUUAUUAGUUUGGUUUGGUUUGUUAUUUUUGUUGGUUAAUUGGACUUUUGUUGUGUUCUUUUUUUGUUUAUUUGUUUGAAUUGGUGUAGGUUUCUAUUAUAUUUUGGACUUUUACUUAUGUUUUUUAUUAUUAUAAUGUUGUUGUUUAGUUUGA
Gossypium arboreum is the source of this 426-nucleotide long non-coding RNA. RefSeq lists it as uncharacterized. The record is from RefSeq and is a predicted model, not a curated record. The transcript has 3 exons. Lineage: Eukaryota; Viridiplantae; Streptophyta; Magnoliopsida; Malvales; Malvaceae.